This 484-nucleotide ribosomal RNA is filed under the name uncultured bacterium. RNAcentral describes it as "partial 16S ribosomal RNA". It matches the Rfam family "Bacterial small subunit ribosomal RNA", at positions 899 to 1397 of the family's 1533-position model. The record is from RNAcentral.
ACUCAAAUGAAUUGACGGGGACCCGCACAAGCGGUGGAGCGUGUUGUUUAAUUCGACGAUAAGCGAAGAACCUUACCAAGGUUUGACAUCCUUCUAAUCCUUUCGAAAGUUAGGAGUGCCUUCGGGCAGGAAGUGACAGGUGAUGCAUGGCCGUCGUCAGCUCGUGUCGUGAGAUGUUUGGUUAAGUCCAUCAACGAGCGCAACCCUUAUAUUUAGUUGAAUUUUUCUAGAUAGACUGCCCUGGCAACAGGGAGGAAGGAGGGGAUGAUGUCAGGUCCGUAUCUCCCUUACACCUUGGGCUACAAACACGCUACAAUGGCCAGUACAAAGGGCAGCCAACCCGCGAGGGGGAGCAAAUCCCAUCAAAGCUGGUCUCAGUUCGGAUUGCAGGCUGAAACUCGCCUGCAUGAAGCUGGAAUCGCUAGUAAACGUAGGUCAGCACACUACGUUGAAUACGUUCCCGGGUCUUGUACACACCGCCCGU